AUCCCUUGAUCAUUUAACGAGUAGUUAUCCAAAGUAGAAUUGCCGGACUUUUGUUUUCCUCCCCUUUGUAAGAAGCACGUCAUUACAACCCAUGCAUUUCAUUCGUCAAGCGGCAAUCCUCGAAAGAAAAUCAGUGCAUAAUUUGUUACUGAUAACGCGAGACGAAGAGUAGAGCUAAUUAAUUUCAAUUCUCUGGCGUCUAAGUGUAAUAUUUAUUUCUUAUAACAUUUGCGCCUCUUGCACGUCGACGAGAAGUGUGGGCGAAAAGUGUUCGAAGCCUGGUCAACUUGGCGUAUAACCGACAGGAAGUGUUUUGCGAGUGGAAAUGACUUGGGGGAUGGGUCACUGACAAAUCCAGAAUUUGAUGACAGUCAACACGAAGUGAGAUGAUCUGACGCCUGUUUCUGUCUGGUUAUUGUAUACAGUUUGAAAUCUCAACACAACACGGAGACUGUCGUGUCAGUUUCAGCCCCCAGAUCCGUCCUGACAUGUUACAGACGACCAGCACCCACCUGUGUGCCACCCUGCUGAUCCUCGUCGUAUCCACACACUGUUUCAGUAUUCGCGUGAGAGUUCCGGCGAUUAAGCGUUCCACCAUGGACCUGGCCAUCAUCCAGAUAUACAAUCUCUGUGACUCAGACUACAGCGGCCACUUCAACGACAAUGAGUUCCAAUGCGUCAAGCACCUCGUCAGCCUCUUCUUCGGCGGAGGCUGACGUCAGAUGAACAGACCCUACAGCAGUGGUCAGUCGGUACCCGCAUGGUGUUGAAUCGUAUGGUUUCUUCUCUGCUGUUAGUCUGGGUCUUUUUAUUUAAACAAAUGAAAC
Molecule: long non-coding RNA, 827 nt
Organism: Gigantopelta aegis
Lineage: Eukaryota; Metazoa; Mollusca; Gastropoda; Neomphalida; Peltospiridae
Exons: 5
Source: RefSeq, a predicted model, not a curated record